GAGCCAGGAAGAGGUUUCCCUGAGUGAAAAGGGUCUUGGGCCCUGGCCUCUGUCCUUGGGCCAGACUCCCUGACUCCCACCCCUCCUUUCCCAGGACUCCCCCUUUGGCUUGAGUUUUGUACGGUUUCAUAGCCCCCCAGACAAAGAUGAGGCAGAGGCCCCGUCCCAGAAGGUGACAGUGACCAAGCUUGGCCAGUUCCGUGUGAAGGAGGAGGAUGAGAGCGCCAACUCUCUGAGGCCGGGGGCUCUCUUCUUCAGCCGGAUCAACAAGACAUCCCCAGUCACAGCCAGCGACCCAGCAGGACCUAGCUAUGCAGCUGCUACCCUCCAGGCUUCUAGUGCUGCCUCCUCAGCCUCUCCAGUCUCCAGGGCCAUAGGCAGCACCUCCAAGCCCCAGGAGUCUCCCAAAGGGAAGAGGAAGUUGGAUUUGAACCAAGAAGAAAAGAAGACCCCCAGCAAACCACCAGCCCAGCUGUCGCCAUCUGUUCCCAAGAGACCUAAAUUGCCAGCUCCAACUCGUACCCCAGCCACAGCCCCAGUCCCUGCCCGAGCACAGGGGGCAGUGACAGGCAAACCCCGAGGAGAAGGCACCGAGCCCAGACGACCCCGAGCUGGCCCAGAGGAGCUGGGGAAGAUCCUUCAGGGUGUGGUAGUGGUGCUGAGUGGCUUCCAGAACCCCUUCCGCUCCGAGCUGCGAGAUA
RNAcentral lists this long non-coding RNA (701 nucleotides) under Homo sapiens (human). Its description in RNAcentral is "non-protein coding lnc-ETHE1-2:1". The record is from RNAcentral. Lineage: Eukaryota; Metazoa; Chordata; Mammalia; Primates; Hominidae.